This 253-nucleotide ribosomal RNA is filed under the name uncultured bacterium. Its description in RNAcentral is "partial 16S ribosomal RNA". It matches the Rfam family "Bacterial small subunit ribosomal RNA", at positions 524 to 776 of the family's 1533-position model. The record is from RNAcentral.
UACGGGGGGGGCAAGCGUUGUUCGGAAUUACUGGGCGUAAAGGGCGCGUAGGCGGUUUGCUAAGUUGGAUGUGAAAACUCUGGGCUUAACCCAGAGCCUGCAUCCAAAACUGGCAAACUUGAGUACUGGAGGGGAAAGCGGAAUUCCUGGUGUAGCGGUGAAAUGCGUAGAUAUCAGGAGGAAUACCGAUGGCGAAGGCAGGUCUCUGGGCUGACACUGACGCUCAUGCACGAAAGCGUGGGGAGCAAACAGG